RNAcentral lists this small RNA (98 nucleotides) under Flavobacterium noncentrifugens. RNAcentral describes it as "Flavo-1 RNA". It matches the Rfam family "Flavo-1 RNA". Lineage: Bacteria; Pseudomonadati; Bacteroidota; Flavobacteriia; Flavobacteriales; Flavobacteriaceae. The record is from Rfam by way of RNAcentral.
CCCUAGCCCCGAUAGUAGCGUAAAUCCUUUUCUGAAUUAUCCCGUAGCGUUAGCGGAGGGAAAUUUAUAAAAGAUUGCAGCGGAUAGCGGGAAUAGCU